This 281-nucleotide ribosomal RNA is filed under the name uncultured bacterium. RNAcentral's name for it is "partial 16S ribosomal RNA". It matches the Rfam family "Bacterial small subunit ribosomal RNA", at positions 209 to 504 of the family's 1533-position model. The record is from RNAcentral.
AUUUUAUCGCUGAAAGAUGAGCUCGCGUCUGAUUAGCUAGUUGGCGGGGUAACGGCCCACCAAGGCGACGAUCAGUAGCCGGACUGAGAGGUUGAACGGCCACAUUGGGACUGAGACACGGCCCAGACUCCUACGGGAGGCGGCAGUGGGGAAUAUUGCGCAAUGGGGGCAACCCUGACGCAGCAACGCCGCGUGAUUGAUGAAGGUCUUCGGAUUGUAAAAAUCUUUAAUCAGGGACGAAUAAAAUGACGGUACCUGACUAAGAAGCCCCGGCUAACUAC